AUUGAACGCUGGCGGCAUGCCUAACACAUGCAAGUCGAGCGGAUGAAGGGGGCUUGCUCUUGGAUUCAGCGGCGGACGGGUGAGUAAUGCCUAGGAAUCUGCCUGGUAGUGGGGGAUAACGUCCGGAAACGGGCGCUAAUACCGCAUACGUCCUGAGGGAGAAAGUGGGGGAUCUUCGGACCUCACGCUAUCAGAUGAGCCUAGGUCGGAUUAGCUAGUUGGUGGGGUAAAGGCCUACCAAGGCGACGAUCCGUAACUGGUCUGAGAGGAUGAUCAGUCACACUGGAACUGAGACACGGUCCAGACUCCUACGGGAGGCAGCAGUGGGGAAUAUUGGACAAUGGGCGAAAGCCUGAUCCAGCCAUGCCGCGUGUGUGAAGAAGGUCUUCGGAUUGUAAAGCACUUUAAGUUGGGAGGAAGGGCAGUAAGUUAAUACCUUGCUGUUUUGACGUUACCAACAGAAUAAGCACCGGCUAACUUCGUG
This 484-nucleotide ribosomal RNA is filed under the name uncultured bacterium. RNAcentral describes it as "partial 16S ribosomal RNA". It matches the Rfam family "Bacterial small subunit ribosomal RNA", at positions 30 to 507 of the family's 1533-position model. The record is from RNAcentral.